GCGCCCGUAGCUCAGGUGGAUAGAGCAGCGGUUUCCUAAACCGCGUGUCGGGAGUUCGAGUCUCUCCGGGCGCACCA
RNAcentral lists this transfer RNA (77 nucleotides) under Pelotomaculum schinkii. RNAcentral's name for it is "tRNA-Arg". It matches the Rfam family "tRNA". From Rfam's summary of the family: Transfer RNA (tRNA) molecules are approximately 80 nucleotides in length. Their secondary structure includes four short double-helical elements and three loops (D, anti-codon, and T loops). Lineage: Bacteria; Bacillati; Bacillota; Clostridia; Eubacteriales; Desulfotomaculaceae. RNAcentral also lists the same sequence under 2 other names. The record is from RNAcentral.